This 862-nucleotide ribosomal RNA is filed under the name marine sponge bacterium FILTER8C102. RNAcentral describes it as "bacterial SSU rRNA". It matches the Rfam family "Bacterial small subunit ribosomal RNA", at positions 94 to 952 of the family's 1533-position model. The record is from RNAcentral.
AGCGGCGGACGGGUGAGUAACGCGUAGGAAUCUACCCAGUAGCGGGGGAUAGCCCGGGGAAACCCGGAUUAAUACCGCAUACGCCCCACGGGGGAAAGCAGGGGAUCUUCGGACCUUGCACUAUUGGAUGAGCCUGCGUUGGAUUAGCUAGUUGGUGGGGUAAAGGCCUACCAAGGCAACGAUCCAUAGCUGGUCUGAGAGGAUGAUCAGCCACACUGGGACUGAGACACGGCCCAGACUCCUACGGGAGGCAGCAGUAGGGAAUAUUGGACAAUGGGGGCAACCCUGAUCCAGCCAUGCCGCGUGUGUGAAGAAGGCUUUCGGGUUGUAAAGCACUUUCAGCGAGGAGGAAAUGGCAGCGGAUAAUACCCGCCGUCUAUGACGUUACUCGCAGAAGAAGGACCGGCUAACUCCGUGCCAGCAGCCGCGGUAAUACGGAGGGUCCGAGCGUUAAUCGGAAUUACUGGGCGUAAAGCGCGCGUAGGCGGUUAGAUCAGUUGGGUGUGAAAGCCCCGGGCUCAACCUGGGAACUGCAUUCAAUACUGUCUGACUGGAGUAUGGGAGAGGGCAGUGGAAUUCCAUGUGUAGCGGUGAAAUGCGUAGAUAUGUGGAGGAACACCAGUGGCGAAGGCGACUGCCUGGCCCAAUACUGACGCUGAGGUGCGAAAGCGUGGGGAGCGAACAGGAUUAGAUACCCUGGUAGUCCACGCCGUAAACGAUGUCAACUAGCCGUUGGAGGACUUGUUCCUUUAGUGGCGCAGCUAACGCGAUAAGUUGACCGCCUGGGGAGUACGGCCGCAAGGUUAAAACUCAAAUGAAUUGACGGGGGCCCGCACAAGCGGUGGAGCAUGUGGUUUAAUUC